Molecule: ribosomal RNA, 772 nt
Filed under: uncultured bacterium
Lineage: Bacteria
Description: bacterial SSU rRNA
Rfam family: Bacterial small subunit ribosomal RNA
Source: RNAcentral
CAUGCAAGUCGAGCGAUGAACAUUGAAUGAUCCCUUCGGGGUGAUUUCGAUCGGAUUAGCGGCGAACGGGUGAGUAACGCGUGAGGAACCUGCCUCUUACAACGGGAUAGCCUCGGGAAACCGGGAUUAAUACCGUAUAAGACUCCGACAUCUCCUGAUGAUGAAGUCAAAGCGUUAGCGGUAAGAGAUGGCCUCGCGUCUGAUUAGCUAGUUGGCGGGGUAACGGCCCACCAAGGCGACGAUCAGUAACCGGCCUGAGAGGGUGAACGGUCACAUUGGAACUGAGACACGGUCCAAACUCCUACGGGAGGCAGCAGUGGGGAAUCUUGCACAAUGGGGGCAACCCUGAUGCAGCGACGCCGCGUGAGCGAUGAAGGUUUUCGAAUCGUAAAGCUCUGUCCUAUGGGAAGAUAAUGACGGUACCAUGGGAGGAAGCCCCGGCUAACUACGCGCCAGCAGCCGCGGUAAUACGUAGGGGGCGAGCGUUGUCCGGAAUUACUGGGCGUAAAGGGUUCGCAGGCGGCAUGGCAAGUCCGAUGUAAAAGGCGAAGGCUCAACCUUCGUAAGCAUCGGAAACUGUCAAGCUUGAGUGAAGGAGAGGCAAGUGGAAUUCCUAGUGUAGCGGUGGAAUGCGUAGAUAUUAGGAGGAAUACCGGUGGCGAAGGCGACUUGCUGGACUUCAACUGACGCUGAGGAACGAAAGCGUGGGUAGCAAACAGGAUUAGAUACCCUGGUAGUCCACGCCGUAAACGAUGAGUGCUAGGUGUCGGGG